Molecule: ribosomal RNA, 327 nt
Filed under: uncultured eukaryote
Lineage: Eukaryota
Description: partial 18S ribosomal RNA
Rfam family: Eukaryotic small subunit ribosomal RNA
Source: RNAcentral
CCCUUAGAUGUUCUGGGCUGCACGCGCGCUACACUGAAGCGUUCAACGAGUAUUCACCUUGCCCGGGAGGGUUGGGUAAUCUUUUGAAAACGCUUCGUGAUGGGGAUAGAUUAUUGCAAUUAUUAAUCUUCAACGAGGAAUUCCUAGUAAACGCAAGUCAUCAGCUUGCAUUGAUUACGUCCCUGCCCUUUGUACACACCGCCCGUCGCAUCUACCGAUUGAAUGGAGAGGCAAAAUCUUCGGACCGUGACGCUUGGGAGUCAAAUCUCGGGCUGUCGUGGGAAGUGGAUUAAACCUUUCUAUUUAGAGGAAGGUAAAGUCGUAACA